GGGGAUUUAGCUCAGUGGCAUAAGCACCUGUCUUGCAAGCAGGCGACUGUGAGUUCGAUCCCCG
This is a transfer RNA of Cavia porcellus (domestic guinea pig), 64 nucleotides long. It matches the Rfam family "tRNA". From Rfam's summary of the family: Transfer RNA (tRNA) molecules are approximately 80 nucleotides in length. Their secondary structure includes four short double-helical elements and three loops (D, anti-codon, and T loops). The record is from Rfam. NCBI's taxonomy places the organism in Eukaryota, Metazoa, Chordata, Mammalia, Rodentia, Caviidae.